Molecule: RNA transcript, 931 nt
Organism: Panicum virgatum (switchgrass)
Lineage: Eukaryota; Viridiplantae; Streptophyta; Magnoliopsida; Poales; Poaceae
Exons: 2
Source: RefSeq, a predicted model, not a curated record
GCUGGCACCACAAAUCACCACACACUGACACUGCAGGGUUGCUGAGUGGAUUCUAGAGUAGCUAACUAGUUACACGGACAGGAAAAAAAUUUGGAAGAAAAGGAAACCGAAGUUCUCAGCUCAACUCAAUCGUCAGCAUGUCAGUCGUCAGGCCUGGUUCCACUGCAAGUAGGCCGCCUCCUUUAUCCACUUGUUUCUUCGGCUUUGGAUGAACUCGUCAAAUUUCCUGUUCAGCUCGUCGAUCUCUAACUCGUCCAGCCCUCCCCCUGUUUCACAGGCUGGUUCCCCGGCAGCAGUCUCCAACUCCACGGUGAUGCUAUCUCCUUCCAGCAGCCCCAGCAGCUCCGAUCUCGUCAUCGCCGUGCCGCUGUUGAUCUUGUCCUGAAGAGGACAGUCUGAAUAUGUGACGCACGGUUUCGCGGCGCAUCGCCGCGCCUCCUCCUGAUGGCGCUGCGCCUGUUGUUUCUCCAGGGCACCGCCGGGUAGCUCGCAAGCGUCGGCGACGUCGCUCGCGGACGCGCCGGCGGCGAAGAACCAGCGGCAGUCGGCGGCGAGGAGGGCGAGGAUGGCGUUGGAGAGCAAGAACAGCGCCGUCCUGGUGGUGACCAGGCUCCCAGCAGCCGCGAGGAGCCAAGCCGGUGGCAGGAUCAGGGCGAGGGAAGCGACGGCUCCCAACGCGAGGACGGCGGCUCGCGAGGCGUCGACGCCCUUCCUCAACCUCCCGACGCCUGGAUCGCAGUCGCGGCUCUCCAGGCUGAGGCUGCUAUGGUGCUCGACGUGCAGCUGCAGCAAGUGAUCCAUGCUGUCAGUGCUCUUGCAGGUGGUAGUGGUGGGUCGCAGAGGCUCACGUGACAGAUUAGAGGAGGGGGAAGGAUGUGAUCCGAUGACGGAGAUGGGCUGCUGGGUCCUCAAGGACAGCAGCCUGUCGGGG